GGAGGUAGCUUUAUGGUAGAGCACUUACCUUGCAUGCAUGAAGCCCUGGGUUCAAACCCCAGGACUAUA
This 69-nucleotide transfer RNA is filed under the name Marmota monax (woodchuck). Its description in RNAcentral is "tRNA.Ala". The stretch from base 6 to 62 matches the Rfam family "tRNA", at positions 8 to 63 of the family's 71-position model. From Rfam's summary of the family: Transfer RNA (tRNA) molecules are approximately 80 nucleotides in length. Their secondary structure includes four short double-helical elements and three loops (D, anti-codon, and T loops). Further hydrogen bonds mediate the characteristic L-shaped molecular structure. tRNAs have two regions of fundamental functional importance: the anti-codon, which is responsible for specific mRNA codon recognition, and the 3' end, to which the tRNAs corresponding amino acid is attached (by aminoacyl-tRNA synthetases). tRNAs cope with the degeneracy of the genetic code in two manners: having more than one tRNA (with a specific anti-codon) for a particular amino acid; and 'wobble' base-pairing, i.e. permitting non-standard base-pairing at the 3rd anti-codon position. The record is from RNAcentral. Lineage: Eukaryota; Metazoa; Chordata; Mammalia; Rodentia; Sciuridae.